Molecule: long non-coding RNA, 1064 nt
Organism: Betta splendens (Siamese fighting fish)
Lineage: Eukaryota; Metazoa; Chordata; Actinopteri; Anabantiformes; Osphronemidae
Exons: 3
Source: RefSeq, a predicted model, not a curated record
GCUGAGCCCUUCCGCUGCUCAAACGGAUCCUCGUCCAUGUGGCUGUGCCUUUGCUGAUUGGAUCUGCUUCAUUCCCCGUGGGCAGGGUCUCAAAUAGAUGUGGCUGCGUUUACCGUAUGACUAUCUGCACUGACCGAAGACAGACAGACCGACCACACGGCCAACGCGGACCCGGACCCUCCCACUGAAGCCAUGGCCCACUACAGCAGUGAAAAGGACUGGUGCAGGCGUUUGUACUGUACUUCACACUCACCGCUGGAGAAACACAUCCAUUAAUACUGAAAGUGUCAUCUUAGCUACAGUUUCCAGUGAUGCAUCGGCGGUGCCCACGAGGAAAUCGGCGCUGAGAGCGUUUCUGAAAUCAAAGGCUAAAUGUGGAAAAACACACGGCUGGAUCCGAAGUCAAACACCAUCACCGCUGUGCCAAGUCAUUUCUAUUAGUCAUGUAUCAGGAUGCAUAUAAACAAAUAAACAGGCAGCAUCUAAUGCUGAAGUGGAUGCAUAUGUGUAUUAUAAAUACGUGAUGGCAAUAGGAGUGUUUUUAACACAUUGCACAGUACCUCUGAAUAUUAAACAGACCGGUAAACAAUGAACCAGCAUUAGAAAUGUGAUUAUUCUUUUAUAUCAUGAAGGUAUUUGGUCACGUUAGUUGUACAGUAUCAGCUGUUAUAUUAUGCGAUGUUGUAAAAAUUCCCAGAAUGGUAACCAAUGGAAUUUUCUUGAAUGAUGGAAAGUUGGUGUUCAAAUAUUAAAUCUGCACUUCAGCAUCGCCUAUUGUAAUUGCUGAACUGGUGGGGCCGUUCCUAGGCUUUUUCUGCGUGAACAGAACCAUGUCGAUUAAAACACAGCCCACCCCCUCGUCGACUGUUCAGGCUCGUGCCAUCUGGCACUGAGGCAUCAAAGUAUUCAAACAAAAAAAAUCCAACUCUUCAUUCCGCACGCCAUCACGUUUCUACCACAUUGUCAAAGCCUGCACCAAUGCUGCCACGGUUCCAGUAGCAUCGUCGCGUCUUGUCUAGUUUCCUGGUUUACUUUCUACUUCCUGUGUUCUAGCUUUAUGCUAA